Drosophila melanogaster (fruit fly) is the source of this 641-nucleotide non-coding RNA. Lineage: Eukaryota; Metazoa; Arthropoda; Insecta; Diptera; Drosophilidae. The record is from Ensembl.
UAUGUAUUUUCCAGACAAAAGUGUACACUUUAAGCACCUAGAACUAGAGUUUUAGUUGCUACAUUGAACUAAAGUCCUCCUUUUUAAUGGCUUUCCUUUGGUGGAUCCUGUUUUAGUUUAAUUUACUCCAGCAUAACGAAAUCGUUAGGGCGCCACAUGCAAUAAAAUAAAAAGCAAAACGCAAUUAAAAUUAUUUCAGACGACGCCAUGCAGUGUGGCAAAUGUUUUGCGUAAUUGCAGUUUGGGGCUCAUUAAAGACUGGGCCGUUUCCUCGCCGGCUCCUUCGCAGCUUAGCUGGCUCUCCUUGGGGGUUUUCCCCCCACUUUUCCAGCCGGACACAGCUGGCGUGCGAAAAGUGCCAAGCGGACUUAACAAUGCGUUACAUUAUUGUCCACCCACUCGACGAGUCCGGCGGAAAAACAUUAAAAAUCCAUUGCACAAAGCUAGACAAAUAGACGCACACCAUCGGCGAUGGGGUUGAGAGGGGUUGCACAUUCCACCCAGACAGACAAUCGGUUGGCUGACUAUAUAUACCAUAGCUCCAUAUAUAUAUAUAUAUAUAUAUAUAUGUACAUAGUCGUACAUCAGUCGCUCCUCUGGCCGGAGUGGCCUGCUUAAUUAAUAAAUUGAUUGGAUUGUUU